Trichonephila inaurata madagascariensis is the source of this 89-nucleotide non-coding RNA. The record is from the annotation of a GenBank genome assembly. NCBI's taxonomy places the organism in Eukaryota, Metazoa, Arthropoda, Arachnida, Araneae, Nephilidae.
GGCUGAAAGGACAGGUUCUCGUCCGAUCACCGAAGUUCAGCAUCAUCGAGCGCGGUCAGUGCUUGGAAAGGUGACCACCUGGGAGCUCC